This 253-nucleotide ribosomal RNA is filed under the name uncultured bacterium. Its description in RNAcentral is "partial 16S ribosomal RNA". It matches the Rfam family "Bacterial small subunit ribosomal RNA", at positions 524 to 776 of the family's 1533-position model. The record is from RNAcentral.
UACGUAGGGGGCAAGCGUUAUCCGGAUUUACUGGGUGUAAAGGGAGCGUAGACGGCCAGACAAGUCUGAAGUGAAAAUCCAGCGCUUAACGUUGGAAGUGCUUUGGAAACUGCCGGGCUAGAGUGCAGGAGGGGCAGGCGGAAUUCCUAGUGUAGCGGUGAAAUGCGUAGAUAUUAGGAGGAACACCAGUGGCGAAGGCGGCUUACUGGACUGUAACUGACGUUGAGGCUCGAAAGCGUGGGGAGCAAACAGG